GUGUUGAACAACAAGGAAGAUAGAAAAGGAUCUCUGAGAUCGUCAUUUUCCAGCAAAGAGAACUCAUCCAGCACAGCACUGCAGUUGGGGCCACCUGCCAUGACCUUAUAGCAGUCCAUUGUCAUCCUCUAGGAUCUGGUAAUAUGGGACCCAUGCCUCACGGUGACACGAAUGUACCACAGAAGACAACUGAGUGCAACUUGUUUCAGUUUUCAGUCAAGAGGAAGAUGAGCAGAAACAUGUACAUGGACAGAGACCACAGCUAACCGGGCAAUUUGAUCAUUCCCUUCUUCUGAGGUCUAAUGGUUUCCCUAAGGACAAUUUUCAGUGUUACCAUCUUUUUGUUUUUUGGCUUUUUUGUUUCCUCACAGACAAAUACCUUCUCCAGUGACUGUGCUUCUCUGAAAGCAAAAACGAAUUUAUA
Non-coding RNA from Leptonychotes weddellii (Weddell seal), 424 nucleotides. Lineage: Eukaryota; Metazoa; Chordata; Mammalia; Carnivora; Phocidae. The record is from RefSeq and is a predicted model, not a curated record.